UGACAAAGGGACAACCAAGAGUAGUGACAAGGGGGAUGCAAGGAGGAAUGGUGACAAAGGGACACCAGCAGGAGUGGUGAGAAAUGGACAGCAGGAGGAAUGGCGACAAAGGGACAACCAGGACAAAGGGACAGCAGGAGGCCUGGUGACAAGGGGACAACCAGGACACAGGGUGACAAAGUGGCACUGGGUGUCCCCCCCCCCACCUUUGGUAUAAAGGUUUGUUUGGUACCUGGGGCGUUUGGUGGCUGAAAGCUGCUCCUGGGCAGCACCCCGACCUGGGGGCGGGAAUGGGGACACAAAAGGUGACACCGAUGCCACCCCCGAGUGACAGCGCGGUGCUGGGGCAGAGGGGGAGUGGGGCAGGACCCGAAUUCGGGGUGGGGAAGCCAGAUUCUGUCCCCUUGUCACAUCCUGCCUGGUUUGUCCCGCCUUGACGUGCGGGUGGUGCCACCAAAGGGAUGGGUGGCUUGGGGACGUUGGGGACGUCGUGUUGGGGACGCUGGGAGGGGACAUUGGGAUGUGGGGGGGACAUCAUGUGGCUGUGUAUGGAGAUGUUGGGGACAUCACCAUGGGGAUAUUGGGGACGUCAUGGAGCUGUGCCAUGGGAUGUUGGGGACAUCACCAUGGGGACGUUGGGGAUGUCAUUAUGGGGACACUGGGGACAUCACGGGGACAUUAGGGAUGUCACCAUGGGGAUGUUGGGGACAAUGGGAUUUUGGGGACACCAUGUGGCUGUGCCAUGGGAUACUGGGGACAACCCUAUGGGGACACUGGGGACGUCAUUAUAGGGACACUGGGGACAUCACGGGGACAUUAGGGAUGUCACCAUGGGGAUGUUGGGGACAAUGGGAUUUUGGGGACACUGUGAGGGGACACUGGGAUGCUGGGGACACCAUGUGGCUGUGCCAUGGGAUGUUGGGGACAUUGGGGACGUCAGCAUGGGGAUGUUGGGGACAUCAUGAAGCUGUGCCAUGGGAUGUUGGGGACAACACCAUGGGGACACUGGGGACGUCAUGGGGAUACUGGGGACAUCACGGGGACAUUAGGGAUGUCACCAUCGGGAUGUUGGGGACAUCAUGAAGCUGUGCCAUGGGAUGUUGGGGACAACACCAUGGGGACGUUGGGGACAUCAUGGGGACACUGGGGACAUCACGGGGACAUUAGGGACGUCACCAUGGGGAUGUUGGGGACAUCAUGAAGCUGUGUCACCUCACCACACCCCCCAGGUGACAACACAGCACAGCCACGUGGUUGGGCUCAGAUGGUUUUAGUCCUCCUGCACAGGUGGGGACAACGGGGACACGCGGGGGGCCCUCCCACCCCCAUCCCAUAAGGAUGAAGGGGAUCCUGGGGGUCCCCAUCCCUGUCCUACGGGUUUGGGGACCCCCAGGGGUCCCUCUUGUCCCCAUCCCAUGGGCUUGGGGACGAUGGGAACCCUGGGAUCUCUCCCACUCCCAUCCCAUAACAACGAAGGGGAUCCUGAGGGUCCCCAUCCCUGUCUUAUGGGUUUGGGGACCCCCAGGGGUCCCUCUUGUCCCCUAUCCCACGGGGUCUGGGGACAACAAGGACCCCUGGGGUCCCUCCCACUCCCAUUAUUAAUGGGUUUGGAGACCCCCAGUUGUCCCUCCCACCCCCAUCCAUAGGGUUUGGGGACCCCCUGGGAUCUCUCCCACC
Meleagris gallopavo (turkey) is the source of this 1677-nucleotide long non-coding RNA. The record is from Ensembl. Lineage: Eukaryota; Metazoa; Chordata; Aves; Galliformes; Phasianidae.